UUUUGGCAGUUAGUUAAUAAAAAAAAAAUUAUGCGAAUUUUGUUCAAAAUCCUCAAACUUUUAAUAGUUGAUUGAAUAAGUUCUUAUGAGACUAAAUUAUUGACUGUGUUCGGGCGCAAAUAGUGCUUGGAAUAUGAUCUAAAACUAGUUUGAGGUGACGUGUUUGCCGGGAGUGCGGAGGUGCAGUUGGAGUGCGGCGUCGCGCAGUGCAUCGCGACGGCCGUGACGCCAUGGCGGAUGGAGGCGUCGGAGGCGCUCCGACCUCCACAGAUCAGCUCGGAUUCUGGAUGGAGCUUCGUCAAAUGGAUUCUGGUUUCAACACCUACAACGUGGUGAGCGUCAACAGUCGAUAAAAGAUGGUAAAUCUUCGGCAUGGUCCGGCUGCAAAGGUAAGUCUUUAGACCCAUAAUAAUCAUUAUCAAAGCCACAACGCCAUGGGGGUGCCCAUAAAAUUGAUGACCGCUGGGUAAUUUAAAACAAGAGCAAAGGGCCCAUUUUUUUGUGAAAUGGUGGAGGCGAGUAAGUCUUUACGUCGGCGUUAUGGCAUAUUUCGGACCAGUAAAACACGACUAAAGUGACAAUCGCCACGGGCGGUGUUUAGAUAAAACUAGAGAGGUCGAAUGCUAUCUACUUAUUGUGCAUACGAUCAGGUCAGGGGUGUCUUCAGCUUUCAGCAAUUUAAUACCCCAGAUACCCCAAAUAUUUAGAGAGUACUAUUUUGAAUUUGGUUAAGCCGCAAGAACUCUUUUUUUAAAUUUGAACCUCCUUACAACCGACUGGAUUCAUGCAGGCAAAGCAAUUAAGAUUUCAGGUUUUCAAAUCUGGCAGUAUUGAACACUU
Dendroctonus ponderosae (mountain pine beetle) is the source of this 840-nucleotide long non-coding RNA. RefSeq lists it as uncharacterized. Lineage: Eukaryota; Metazoa; Arthropoda; Insecta; Coleoptera; Curculionidae. The record is from RefSeq and is a predicted model, not a curated record. The transcript has 4 exons.